This 709-nucleotide ribosomal RNA is filed under the name uncultured bacterium. RNAcentral's name for it is "bacterial SSU rRNA". It matches the Rfam family "Bacterial small subunit ribosomal RNA", at positions 60 to 770 of the family's 1533-position model. The record is from RNAcentral.
AGUCGAGGGGUAUAGUUCUUCGGAAUUAGAGACCGGCGCACGGGUGCGUAACGCGUAUGCAAUCUACCUUUCACAAAGGGAUAGCCCAGAGAAAUUUGGAUUAAUACCUUAUAGUAUAUAUGAAUGGCAUCAUUUAUAUAUUAAAGAUUUAUCGGUGAAAGAUGAGCAUGCGUCCCAUUAGCUAGUUGGUAAGGUAACGGCUUACCAAGGCAACGAUGGGUAGGGGUCCUGAGAGGGAGAUCCCCCACACUGGUACUGAGACACGGACCAGACUCCUACGGGAGGCAGCAGUGAGGAAUAUUGGACAAUGGGCGCAAGCCUGAUCCAGCCAUGCCGCGUGCAGGAUGACGGUCCUAUGGAUUGUAAACUGCUUUUAUACGAGAAGAAACACUCCGACGUGUCGGAGCUUGACGGUAUCGUAAGAAUAAGGAUCGGCUAACUCCGUGCCAGCAGCCGCGGUAAUACGGAGGAUCCAAGCGUUAUCCGGAAUCAUUGGGUUUAAAGGGUCCGUAGGCGGUCAGGUAAGUCAGUGGUGAAAGCCCAUCGCUCAACGGUGGAACGGCCAUUGAUACUGUCUGACUUGAAUUAUUAGGAAGUAACUAGAAUAUGUAGUGUAGCGGUGAAAUGCUUAGAGAUUACAUGGAAUACCAAUUGCGAAGGCAGGUUACUACUAAUGGAUUGACGCUGAUGGACGAAAGCGUGGGUAGCG